RNAcentral lists this ribosomal RNA (426 nucleotides) under uncultured bacterium. RNAcentral describes it as "partial 16S ribosomal RNA". It matches the Rfam family "Bacterial small subunit ribosomal RNA", at positions 355 to 774 of the family's 1533-position model. The record is from RNAcentral.
UGGGGAAUAUUGGACAAUGGGCGAAAGCCUGAUCCAGCCAUGCCGCGUGUGUGAAGAAGGUCUUCGGAUUGUAAAGCACUUUAAGUUGGGAGGAAGGGCAUUAACCUAAUACGUUAGUUUUUGACGUUACCGACAGAAUAAGCACCGGCUAACUCUGUGCCAGCAGCCGCGGUAAUACAGAGGGUGCAAGCGUUAAUCGGAAUUACUGGGCGUAAAGCGCGCGUAGGUGGUUUGUUAAGUUGGAUGUGAAAUCCCCGGGCUCAACCUGGGAACUGCAUUCAAAACUGACUGACUAGAGUAUGGUAGAGGGUGGUGGAAUUUCCUGUGUAGCGGUGAAAUGCGUAGAUAUAGGAAGGAACACCAGUGGCGAAGGCGACCACCUGGACUAAUACUGACACUGAGGUGCGAAAGCGUGGGGAGCAAACA